RNAcentral lists this ribosomal RNA (630 nucleotides) under uncultured bacterium. RNAcentral describes it as "bacterial SSU rRNA". The stretch from base 1 to 539 matches the Rfam family "Bacterial small subunit ribosomal RNA", at positions 338 to 873 of the family's 1533-position model. The record is from RNAcentral.
CCUACGGGAGGCAGCAGUGGGGAAUUUUGGACAAUGGGGGCAACCCUGAUCCAGCAAUGCCGCGUGAGUGAAGAAGGCCUUCGGGUUGUAAAGCUCUUUUGUCAGGGAAGAAACGGUGAUCUCUAAUACAGAUUACUAAUGACGGUACCUGAAGAAUAAGCACCGGCUAACUACGUGCCAGCAGCCGCGGUAAUACGUAGGGUGCAAGCGUUAAUCGGAAUUACUGGGCGUAAAGCGUGCGCAGGCGGUUAUAUAAGUCAGAUGUGAAAUCCCCGGGCUCAACCUGGGAACUGCAUUUGAGACUGUAUGGCUAGAGUGUGUCAGAGGGGGGUAGAAUUCCACGUGUAGCAGUGAAAUGCGUAGAUAUGUGGAGGAAUACCGAUGGCGAAGGCAGCCCCCUGGGAUAACACUGACGCUCAUGCACGAAAGCGUGGGGAGCAAACAGGAUUAGAUACCCUGGUAGUCCACGCCCUAAACGAUGUCUACUAGUUGUCGGGUCUUAAUUGACUUGGUAACGCAGCUACGCGUGAGUAGACGCCGUCGGGUAGGUACGGUCGCGAGAAGUUAAACGUUAAACGGUAAAGUUAGUACGGCGUGAGACGUGACGACGGACGACGACGAGGGAGGAGG